Cordylochernes scorpioides is the source of this 73-nucleotide non-coding RNA. Lineage: Eukaryota; Metazoa; Arthropoda; Arachnida; Pseudoscorpiones; Chernetidae. The record is from the annotation of a GenBank genome assembly.
GUCCAGGGGCGGGAAUCGAACCCACAACCUUCUUCUUACCGGGCAGGUGCCAUGUCCACUAGGCUACCCUGGA